GCGCACCAGUCGCGAAUUUUCUCAAUGGGGAAACCCUGAAGGAGCGACGCCGCGUGGAGGAUGAAGGUCUUCGGAUUGUAAACUCCUGUCAUUUGGGAACAAGUUGCAGCGAUUAACUGUCGCUGCAUUGAUAGUACCAGAAGAGGAAGAGACGGCUAACUCUGUGCCAGCAGCCGCGGUAAUACAGAGGUCUCAAGCGUUGUUCGGAUUCAUUGGGCGUAAAGGGUGCGUAGGUGGCGGGGUUAGUCAGGUGUGAAAUCUCGGGGCUCAACCCCGAAACUGCACUUGAUACUGCCUUGCUAGAGUACUGGAGAGGAGAUUGGAAUUUACGGUGUAGCAGUGAAAUGCGUAGAUAUCGUAAGGAAGACCAGUGGCGAAAGGCGAAUCUCUGGACAGUUACUGACACUGAGGCACGAAGGCCAGGGGAGCAAACGGGAUUAGAUACCCGCGUAGU
Molecule: ribosomal RNA, 454 nt
Filed under: uncultured organism
Description: bacterial SSU rRNA
Rfam family: Bacterial small subunit ribosomal RNA
Source: RNAcentral